This 460-nucleotide ribosomal RNA is filed under the name uncultured bacterium. Its description in RNAcentral is "partial 16S ribosomal RNA". It matches the Rfam family "Bacterial small subunit ribosomal RNA", at positions 338 to 795 of the family's 1533-position model. The record is from RNAcentral.
CCUACGGGGGGCAGCAGUGAGGAAUAUUGGUCAAUGGACGAGAGUCUGAACCAGCCAAGUAGCGUGAAGGAUGACUGCCCUAUGGGUUGUAAACUUCUUUUAUAAAGGAAUAAAACGAGGCACGUGUGCCUUUUUGCAUGUACUUUAUGAAUAAGGAUCGGCUAACUCCGUGCCAGCAGCCGCGGUAAUACGGAGGAUCCGAGCGUUAUCCGGAUUUAUUGGGUUUAAAGGGAGCGUAGAUGGGUUGUUAAGUCAGUUGUGAAAGUUUGCGGCUCAACCGUAAAAUUGCAAUUGAUACUGGCAGUCGUGAGUACAGUUGAGGUAGGCGGAAUUCGUGGUGUAGCGGUGAAAUGCUUAGAUAUCACGAAGAACCCCGAUUGCGAAGGCAGCUUACUAAACUGUGACUGACAUUGCUGCUCGAAAGUGUGGGUAUCAAACAGGAUUAGAUACCCGAGUAGUA